RNAcentral lists this ribosomal RNA (1412 nucleotides) under metagenome. Its description in RNAcentral is "bacterial SSU rRNA". It matches the Rfam family "Bacterial small subunit ribosomal RNA". The record is from RNAcentral.
AGAGUUUGAUCGUGGCUCAGGAUGAACGCUGGCGGCGUGCCUUAAGCAUGCAAGUCGAACGGGAUUAACUUGUUGAUCCAGUGGCAGACGGGUGAGUAAUGCGUACAAAUCUACCCCUCAGAGGAGGAUAACCUUGAGAAAUCAGGGGUAAUCCACCAUAGUUCCUUACUAGGUAAAGAGUGUAACUACUCGCUAAGGGAGGAGUGUGCGUCCCAUCAGCUUGUUGGUGAGGUAAUGGCUCACCAAGGCUACGACGGGUAACUGGUCUGAGAGGAUGGUCAGCCACAAGGGCACUGAAACACGGGCCCUACUCCUACGGGAGGCAGCAGCCAGGAAUAUUGCGCAAUGGGCGAAAGCCUGACGCAGCGACGCCGCGUGCGGGAUGAAGGCCUUCGGGUCGUAAACCGCUAAAUUUUGGCAUCCAGCCAGAAGAUAAGUGCCUACUAACUACGUGCCAGCAGUCGCGGUAAUACGUAGGGCACAAGCGUUAUCCGGAAUUAUUGGGCUUAAAGGGUCCGUAGGUGGUUGGUUAAGUCUUUUGUCAAAGCCUCCAGCCUAUCUGGAGAGAGGCAGAAGAUACUAACUAACUAGAGUAGAUUCGGGGCUACUGGAACUUGCCAUGUAGGGGUGAAAUCCGUGGAUAUGGCAAGGAACACCGAGGGCGAAGGCGGGUAGCUAGGAUCUUACUGACACUCAUGGACGAAAGCUGGGGUAGCAAACCGGAUUAGAGACCCGGGUAGUCCCAGCCGUAAAUGAUGCUCGCUAGCUGGUUUAAUCUUAGGAUCGGACCGGCGAAGCUAAUGCGUUAAGCGAGCCGCCUGGGGAGUACGACCGCAAGGUUGAAACUCAAACGAAUUGACGGGGAGGCGCACAACCAGUGGAGCAUGUGGUUUAAUUCAAUACGAAGCGCUGAACCUUACCUGGGCUAGACCUCCACUUAUGUCUAUCCGAAAGGAAUAGACCCAACGGUGGAUCAGCUGGUGCAUGGCUGUCGUCAGCUCGUGGCGUGAGCCGUUCCCUUUAGUGGGGUAACGAGCGCAACCCCUGCUGUAUGUUAGUAUGUCAUACGGGACUGCCCUGCCUUUUGGCAAGGAGGAAGGAGGGGAUGACGUCAAGUCAGCAUGUCGCUUAUGUCCAGGGCUACACACAUCCUACAAUGGGCCGGACAAUGGGUUGCCAAGUCGCAAGGCGGAGCUAAUCCCAUCAAACCGGUUCUCAGUUGGGAUUGCAGUCUGCAACUCGACUGCAUGAACGUGGAAUUGGUAGUAAUCGGGAAUCAGCAGAUCUCGGUGAAUACGUUCUCGCCUCUUGUACACACUGCCCGUCAACUGAGCCGAGUUGACAAUACCCGAAGUUCCGCUUUGGCGGGAUUAAGGUGGGGUCAGCAAGGAGCGGUAAGUCGUAACAAGGUA